AUGCGGCGGUGCCGGGGCGCAGGGCUGGCGGGGCUGGCCGCGGUGCUCCUGGUAGCAGUGGGCAGAGCCCAGGUGCAGCAGGAGCCGUUGGCAGAGACCACCGAGGGCACCGGCAUCAGCAUCAGCUGCUCACACCCCAACAUACAGACCAGAGACUUCAUCCUCUGGUACCGUCAGCUCCCGGGCCGAGGCCCCGCAUUCCUCGUGAGCGGCACUAAAGGGUCCAAAGAGCUGCGGGACCCUGCGGGGCGGCUGUCGGUGGCGGCAGACCGCCGGUCCAGCGCCCUGUGGCUCGCCCGGCCCCGGCGCGGGGACGCGGCGGUGUAUUACUGCGCCCAUCACAUACCUGAGCGUCCCAGUAGACUCUCUGGGAAUGAAGCAGCACCCACAGUAGAAGAAAGAAUUAAGGAGCUCUUCCUACCAAUUGGACAUACAUACCAGGGAAAAAACUCUUUCCAUGAAGGUGGUCAAGUGCUGGAGUACUUUGUGCAGAGAGGUUAUGGGAUCUCUGUCAUUGGAAGUGUUCAGAACUUGCCUGGACUCAGCCCUGAGUAA
Non-coding RNA from Gymnogyps californianus (California condor), 555 nucleotides. NCBI's taxonomy places the organism in Eukaryota, Metazoa, Chordata, Aves, Accipitriformes, Cathartidae. The record is from the annotation of a RefSeq genome assembly.